GGGGCGCUAGUCCAAAAAGACAGCUGAUUUCGACUCAACUAAUUAUGGUUUAAACCCAUAGCACCCCU
Molecule: transfer RNA, 68 nt
Filed under: Glandirana rugosa (Japanese wrinkled frog)
Lineage: Eukaryota; Metazoa; Chordata; Amphibia; Anura; Ranidae
Description: tRNA-Arg
Rfam family: tRNA
About the family: Transfer RNA (tRNA) molecules are approximately 80 nucleotides in length. Their secondary structure includes four short double-helical elements and three loops (D, anti-codon, and T loops).
Source: RNAcentral